GAAUCUGGGAGGACCAUCUCCUAAGGCUAAAUACUCUCUAGUGACCGAUAGUGAACCAGUACCGUGAGGGAAAGGUGAAAAGCACCCCGGAAGGGGAGUGAAAUAGAACCUGAAACCGUGUGCUUACAAGUAGUCAGAGCCCGUUAAUGGGUGAUGGCGUGCCUUUUGUAGAAUGAACCGGCGAGUUACGAUUUGAUGCAAGGUUAAGCAGUAAAUGUGGAGCCGUAGCGAAAGCGAGUCUGAAUAGGGCGUUUAGUAUUUGGUCGUAGACCCGAAACCAGGUGAUCUACCCUUGGUCAGGUUGAAGUUCAGGUAACACUGAAUGGAGGACCGAACCGACUUACGUUGAAAAGUGAGCGGAUGAACUGAGGGUAGCGGAGAAAUUCCAAUCGAACCUGGAGAUAGCUGGUUCUCUCCGAAAUAGCUUUAGGGCUAGCCUCAAGUGAUGAUUAUUGGAGGUAGAGCACUGUUUGGACGAGGGGCCCCUCUCGGGUUACCGAAUUCAGACAAACUCCGAAUGCCAAUUAAUUUAACUUGGGAGUCAGAACAUGGGUGAUAAGGUCCGUGUUCGAAAGGGAAACAGCCCAGACCACCAGCUAAGGUCCCAAAAUAUAUGUUAAGUGGAAAAGGAUGUGGCGUUGCCCAGACAACUAGGAUGUUGGCUUAGAAGCAGCCAUCAUUUAAAGAGUGCGUAAUAGCUCACUAGUCGAGUGACACUGCGCCGAAAAUGUACCGGGGCUAAACAUAUUACCGAAGCUGUGGAUUGUCCUUUGGACAAUGGUAGGAGAGCGUUCUAAGGGCGUUGAAGCAUGAUCGUAAGGACAUGUGGAGCGCUUAGAAGUGAGAAUGCCGGUGUGAGUAGCGAAAGACGGGUGAGAAUCCCGUCCACCGAUUGACUAAGGUUUCCAGAGGAAGGCUCGUCCGCUCUGGGUUAGUCGGGUCCUAAGCUGAGGCCGACAGGCGUAGGCGAUGGAUAACAGGUUGAUAUUCCUGUACCACCUAUAAUCGUUUUAAUCGAUGGGGGGACGCAGUAGGAUAGGCGAAGCGUGCGAUUGGAUUGCACGUCUAAGCAGUAAGGCUGAGUAUUAGGCAAAUCCGGUACUCGUUAAGGCUGAGCUGUGAUGGGGAGAAGACAUUGUGUCUUCGAGUCGUUGAUUUCACACUGCCGAGAAAAGCCUCUAGAUAGAAAAUAGGUGCCCGUACCGCAAACCGACACAGGUAGUCAAGAUGAGAAUUCUAAGGUGAGCGAGCGAACUCUCGUUAAGGAACUCGGCAAAAUGACCCCGUAACUUCGGGAGAAGGGGUGCUCUUUAGGGUUAACGCCCAGAAGAGCCGCAGUGAAUAGGCCCAAGCGACUGUUUAUCAAAAACACAGGUCUCUGCUAAACCGUAAGGUGAUGUAUAGGGGCUGACGCCUGCCCGGUGCUGGAAGGUUAAGAGGAGUGGUUAGCUUCUGCGAAGCUACGAAUCGAAGCCCCAGUAAACGGCGGCCGUAACUAUAACGGUCCUAAGGUAGCGAAAUUCCUUGUCGGGUAAGUUCCGACCCGCACGAAAGGCGUAACGAUUUGGGCACUGUCUCAACGAGAGACUCGGUGAAAUCAUAGUACCUGUGAAGAUGCAGGUUACCCGCGACAGGACGGAAAGACCCCGUGGAGCUUUACUGUAGCCUGAUAUUGAAAUUCGGCACAGCUUGUACAGGAUAGGUAGGAGCCUUUGAAACGUGAGCGCUAGCUUACGUGGAGGCGCUGGUGGGAUACUACCCUAGCUGUGUUGGCUUUCUAACCCGCACCACUUAUCGUGGUGGGAGACAGUGUCAGGCGGGCAGUUUGACUGGGGCGGUCGCCUCCUAAAAGGUAACGGAGGCGCUCAAAGGUUCCCUCAGAAUGGUUGGAAAUCAUUCAUAGAGUGUAAAGGCAUAAGGGAGCUUGACUGCGAGACCUACAAGUCGAGCAGGGUCGAAAGACGGACUUAGUGAUCCGGUGGUUCCGCAUGGAAGGGCCAUCGCUCAACGGAUAAAAGCUACCCCGGGGAUAACAGGCUUAUCUCCCCCAAGAGUUCACAUCGACGGGGAGGUUUGGCACCUCGAUGUCGGCUCAUCGCAUCCUGGGGCUGUAGUCGGUCCCAAGGGUUGGGCUGUUCGCCCAUUAAAGCGGUACGCGAGCUGGGUUCAGAACGUCGUGAGACAGUUCGGUCCCUAUCCGUCGUGGGCGUAGGAAAUUUGAGAGGAGCUGUCCUUAGUACGAGAGGACCGGGAUGGACAUACCUCUGGUGUACCAGUUGUCGUGCCAACGGCAUAGCUGGGUAGCUAUGUGUGGACGGGAUAAGUGCUGAAAGCAUCUAAGCAUGAAGCCCCCCUCAAGAUGAGAUUUCCCAACUUCGGUUAUAAGAUCCCUCAAAGAUGAUGAGGUUAAUAGGUUCGAGGUGGAAGCAUGGUGACAUGUGGAGCUGACGAAUACUAA
RNAcentral lists this ribosomal RNA (2458 nucleotides) under Staphylococcus aureus. RNAcentral's name for it is "partial 23S ribosomal RNA". It matches the Rfam family "Bacterial large subunit ribosomal RNA", at positions 440 to 2904 of the family's 2925-position model. RNAcentral also lists the same sequence under 1 other name. Lineage: Bacteria; Bacillati; Bacillota; Bacilli; Caryophanales; Staphylococcaceae. The record is from RNAcentral.